Long non-coding RNA from Papaver somniferum (opium poppy), 680 nucleotides. RefSeq lists it as uncharacterized. The record is from RefSeq and is a predicted model, not a curated record. The transcript is spliced from 2 exons. Lineage: Eukaryota; Viridiplantae; Streptophyta; Magnoliopsida; Ranunculales; Papaveraceae.
UCCUCUCAACUCAAGUAUGAAGAACAUGACCACCUUUUUCUUUACCACCACCGCUUUCUUCUCCACCACCACCACCACCGCUAUACAGAGAAUCAUCAUCUUUUUCUUCUUAUUAUUCAAUCAAAUCAUCAUCUUUUUCUCCUUCUCGUUCAAUCAAUGACAAUAAGUCAAGGGAAAUUAGGGUAUUGAGUUGUUGAGUUACUGAUAGAGGAUGAGAAUAACAAGGACGCAUAAUUGAGAGAUUAAACAUUAUUUUAUGGGUACAUAUUUUUGUUUGAAUCUGUAUGUCAUUAUUUAACUGUGGUUUAUUUGAGUAACAAAUGGAAAUUAGGGAUCUUAUUUCUUAGGGAUGAUUUAUGUUGAAAUUGAAGAAUUGGGUUACGAUGCUUGUGUUCAAAGAAUCAGAAGAUCGAGAUUACAACAGUUUGGGAUUGAAAUGGUGGCUUGUUUGGCUUGAAGUUGGUGGUGCUGAGAUGUGCAAUUAAUAUUGGUUGGGUGCAAUGGAAAUUAGGGUUCUUAGGGAUGAUUUGUUGAAGUCAUUGGGUUAUGAUGCUUGUUGGUUGUGUAGGUUACAUUGUGAAAACAUUGUUGAUAUGGAGAUUAAGGUUCUUGCUACUUUCUUAAUUGGAUUAAUUGUAUUGAUUAUUAAAACUUUAUCUGUUUUUGUGAUUUUGGAUUCA